AAUACCUUUACAAAAAUAUUUUGCUACUAGGCUCUUUCUUUGGAAUCUUCAUAUUGGCUUACCUGUAUGUAACGAUUAUGGAAAAGUAUUAGAUCUAUUUUUUUAAAGUUCAUCAAAAGUUGACCGAUUAUGGGAUUGAUAUAUUACUUGAACUAAAAAUAAACGUAUAUUGGAAACACAAGUUUGUUGUUGGAUAUAGUAAAAGGUAUUUCACACUGUAAAUCUUUGCCUUAAUUUGAACACAAGUAAAGGUUUUUUAGUUAGUGUUAGGCUGAACAUCUGCAGAUUUUGUUCUGAUAUGGGUAUAUACCUAUAGUCUUAAAAUAAGUAUCCGGCAAAUAAUUACCAUCAGAAAUGACUUAUCAAACACAGAAUGUAACAGAAGAACAGGCCCAAGAGGCCUUAGGGUUGUUAAAUAAGGAUGUAGCUAUUAAAAAGGUACCAACGAUUGGAAAAAGACAUUUGCAAGCCCUUAUGCUUUGUCUCUUGCUAUCUUGUUGUUAUGCAGUCAGAACAGCAUUGACUGUAGCCAUAGUAGCCAUGACCGAUCCAAAAUCCAACAGUAAUAAAGAUAUACCGACCUUCAACUGGAAUGACAAAAGCUUGAUUAUGGCAUCAUUUCUAUGGGGCUACUGGAUUCCUCAAAUAGUCGCCGGAUACAUAUCUGAUAAAUAUGGGGCAAAAUGGUUCUUAGUGGGAACUAUAACGGUGUCGGCAACUGCCGGUCUUCUAACUCCUUCCGCAGCUAUAUAUUUUGGCUCUAAAGGAGUUAUGAUUUGCCGAUUUCUACAAGGUCUAUCUCAAGGGUUUUUAUAUCCAUCAAUACACGCGUCAUUGGGCAAGUGGAUACCAGUUCCAGAACGGAGUAGGCUUGGUACUUUGGCUUAUUCAGGUGCAUCACUAGGUAUAGUUCUUUCCCUGAUAUUAACUGGAUACAUAUGUUCAACGCGUUAUGGAUGGCCCAUGGUUUUUUAUCUCUUAAACGCUAUCACGUUGGUAGUGGUGGCUAUGUAUAUCUAUAUUGGCAGCAACGAUCCAAGUAGUCAUCCGACCAUUAGCGAAGAGGAGAAGAAUUACAUUAUUAAUAGUUUAAACACUGCGACUGACAGGCACAAUUUGAUAGUUCCUUGGAAGGAAAUGCUUACAUCUAAUGCAUUCAUAGCUUUGUUUAUAACCAGUAUAUGUUUUAACUUCACCCACUGGAUGUUUUUAACGCAAACUUCUAUGUAUCUGGACAAGAUAAUGCAUUUUAACCUCAAAUCCAACAGCGUUCUGACGUCUCUUCCUUAUCUAAUGGAAUUUUUGGUCGGAUUUGUAGCAUGUUUCAUAGCAGAUUAUUUGAUUGCCAAGAAAACUGUUUCCACCACGAAUAUGAGAAAGAUUAUGAACAAUAUCGGAAUGUUUAUACCAGCAGUUGCUAUUUUUUUGCUAACUACCACCGGUUCAAAUGAUCAAAACUAUGUCAUUUUGAGUAUAAUACUUGUCAGCGGUUCCCACGGAAGCGGUAAAUCUGGUAAAGUCGUAAACCAUUUGGAUCUGGCUCCUAAUUUUUCAGGCGUUAUGAUGGGAUUUACUAAUGGACUUUCAAUUGGACUUUCUUCGUUUGCUCCUGUCUUGGCACAAAUUAUUGUAAAGGAUCAGGCCCCCUUUAACGAACUCCCCUGUGUUAAGAGCUAAUAUAUGGUAGAGGUACAUCUGCAGGGCACCAGGUUUCUCCCCAUAUGAUAAUCUGACGCGUACGAGUAACUGCAAAAAUCCCCGCUUGUGCUGUCCUACCAUAGGAAAUAUAAAAUCAGCUGGAUAAUUAAUUGGACCAGUAAAAAAAGGCACUAAUGCCUUUAACACUAUAUGGCGAAACCGGAAUAUUAACACUGAGAUGAAGUCAAGAAUUUAUAGAGCCAGUGUAAGACCAAUAAUGACAUAUGCAUCAGAAACAAGACCCGAUACAGCCACAACACAAAGACUACUAGAAACGGCAGAGAUGAGAUUACUGAAAAGAAUUACAGGAAAUACACGGAGAGAUCGGUAGAGGAGUGAAGAUAUCAGAAGACAAUGGAACGUAUAGUGUAUAAACGAAUGGACACUAAAUAGAAAAAAAGAAAAAGAAUGUUACAUAAUCAGAAUGGGGGAGACACGUGUGGUCAAAAUAGCACGAGAUAAAUCACCAAUCGGUAUAAGAAGUUUCGGCCGACCGCGCAAAAGAUGGAGUAACAACCUUCCAUAGAGGGAUCAAUCCGCCAAUGAACAAGCAGAAUUGCUUAUAAAGAGGAAGAAGAAGAAAAAGAAAUAAAAAAAAGAGUCUACUCACCACAAUAUUAGCCAAUGGCGUAUCAUUUUCUACUUAACGAUGGGAUUGAAUAUAUUUGGUGUUAUAUAUAACACAUUAUUUACGUCGGGAAAAAGACAACCAUGGAAUGAAGGAAAAAGGCGGAAAGAAG
Molecule: RNA transcript, 2438 nt
Organism: Diabrotica virgifera virgifera (western corn rootworm)
Lineage: Eukaryota; Metazoa; Arthropoda; Insecta; Coleoptera; Chrysomelidae
Gene name: putative inorganic phosphate cotransporter
Exons: 10
Source: RefSeq, a predicted model, not a curated record